UACGAAGGGGGCUAGCGUUGUUCGGAAUCACUGGGCGUAAAGCGCACGUAGGCGGGCGUGUCAGUCAGGGGUGAAAUCCCGGAGCCCAACUCCGGAACUGCCUCUGAUACAGCACGUCUUGAGUUCGAGAGAGGUGGGUGGAAUUCCUAGUGUAGAGGUGAAAUUCGUAGAUAUUAGGAAGAACACCGGUGGCGAAGGCGGCCCACUGGCUCGAUACUGACGCUGAGGUGCGAAAGCGUGGGGAGCAAACAGG
Molecule: ribosomal RNA, 253 nt
Filed under: uncultured bacterium
Lineage: Bacteria
Description: partial 16S ribosomal RNA
Rfam family: Bacterial small subunit ribosomal RNA
Source: RNAcentral